UUAAAGGCUCUUUUCAUAGCCACAUUAAUUAUACCAAAAAGUAACA
Non-coding RNA from Operophtera brumata (winter moth), 46 nucleotides. Lineage: Eukaryota; Metazoa; Arthropoda; Insecta; Lepidoptera; Geometridae. The record is from Rfam.